AAAAUGUGACAAAUUGUAGUGUUGUAGCCGUUAGCUGGGCUCGAUUCCCAGGCUCUCACUCUUUUUAUAACAGGUACUCUGUGUGGAUCUUCGAGUCCCACGUGCACCCGUUCACAGGUCCCGUAUAAUUAGUGGGAUGAAACGUAACAGCUAUUAAUUUACUGUUUUCAACUUUUUACAUACUUGUUAAUAGAAAUAGACAAUGAUUGUUUUAAUUGCGUCAACUGUGUCAACGAGAAUAAUAUGGGAUGCGUAUUUCGAUACGAGAGGUUAUUUUAGUUAGGUUGGUAAAACUUUAGAGUUUAAACGAAUAGUAAACCUUGAUUGCUGUAU
RNAcentral lists this unclassified non-coding RNA (333 nucleotides) under Melitaea cinxia (Glanville fritillary). RNAcentral's name for it is "misc RNA ENSMCXG00005013796.1". The record is from RNAcentral. Lineage: Eukaryota; Metazoa; Arthropoda; Insecta; Lepidoptera; Nymphalidae.